Molecule: ribosomal RNA, 253 nt
Filed under: uncultured bacterium
Lineage: Bacteria
Description: partial 16S ribosomal RNA
Rfam family: Bacterial small subunit ribosomal RNA
Source: RNAcentral
GACGAGGGAUCCUAGCGUUGUUCGGAAUUAUUGGGCGUAAAGCGGGUGUAGGUGGCUCGGUAAGUCAGGUGUGAAAGCCCAGGGCUCAACCCUGGAAGUGCACUUGAUACUGCUGAGCUUGAGUGCUAGAGAGGCUAUUAGAAUACCUAGUGUAGUGGUGAAAUACGUAGAUAUUAGGUGGAAUACCGGAGGCGAAGGCGGAUAGCUGGCUAGACACUGACACUCAGACCCGAAAGUGUGGGGAUCAAACAGG